Molecule: non-coding RNA, 1658 nt
Organism: Pelobates cultripes (western spadefoot toad)
Lineage: Eukaryota; Metazoa; Chordata; Amphibia; Anura; Pelobatidae
Source: the annotation of a GenBank genome assembly
UCAUCUAUAUAUCCCCUAUAUCCCCCCAUAUAUUCCCUAUAUCCCCAGUAUAUUUCUAUAUAUCCCCUAUAUAUCCCCUAUAUACCCCCCUAUAUUCCUGUAUAUCCCCUAUAUAUCCCCAAUAUAUUCCUGUAUUCCCCCUAUCUAUCCCCAAUAUAUAUCCCCAGUAUAUUUCUGUAUAUCCCCUAUAUAUAUCCCCUAUAUAUUUCCCCUAUAUAUUCCUAUAUAUCCCCUGUAUAUCCCCCACAUAUCAUCUAUAUAUCCCCUGUAUACCCCCCUAUAUUCCUGUAUAUCCCCUAUAUAUCCCCAGUAUAUUUCUGUAUAUCCUCUAUAUAUAUCCCUUAUACAUUUCCCCUAUGUUGUUUUUAUUGUAGUUUUCUCUCCUAAUUACUGAUUUCUGAUACAGGGAGAUAUGCGUCGACGCCACAUUUCCAAGGUGGUGGAAGAGGUUCAAAAGGUAAUCCAGCAGCUCACUGCCUACGUCAGUACUCAGGAUCUAAGAUUCCAGAGUAUCGCCAACACAGGGAUUCACAGCGACAGUCUGAAGGUAAGAGAUUGGGCCAACAGAUGGAAGGGGAAUCAGGAUAAUGGGGUCACUAGGUGUCUGAAAACAUCCCCCCCCCUUCCCCCACCCCCCGCCCUCUCAUUUUGGGACCUUACUCUAUAUGGACACUCCACUGCCCAAAUACAAACAAAACAAGGUUUAAUACAUAUACCCUCCAUUUCCUCUAUAGACUGUAAGCUUGUUUGAGCUGGGUCUUUUUCAACCUAUUGUUCCUGUAAGUUUUCUUGUAAUUGUCCUAAUUAUUGUUCCAUCCCCCCUCUCAUAAUAUUGUAAAGUGCUACAGAAUCUGUUGGCGCUAUAUAAAUGGCAAUAAUAAUAAUAUUAAUUUCAGUAUGCAUGUUUCGGGGGUAUAUCUCCAAACAGCUUGUAAAAGUUGCAAAUCUCUUGUCUGCAGCAUUCGCAAGCCCUUGCUCUUCUAAUCCCGCCCAGACUUUCUGUGGCUGUCCAAUCACACACUUCCCACUGCAGCUCAAUGAAAAGUCUUAGCAAAGCAGAUGCUCUGAGUAAUUUCUGCCUCUUGAGUUUAUCUACAGUGAGCCAAACAAACCAGGAAGUAACUGGACAAUCUGUCUGAUUGACAACCAGGGGGAUGUAACAAAGUUAAUUUAUUAAAGUUAAAAUUUUUAAUGAAAUCUGCAUGUUUUGUAAAAUGAAAAAAGAGGACAUGGUCUUCACACAUAAAGCUGUUCAGGAAGAUAAAGUAUUUUAGGGGUCGGGAGUGUCCUUUUAACCCUCACUUCACCGCAGACUGACACUGAGCUGGUAUUAACCCUCUCCUUUCCAUAAACUGACACUACGCUGGUAUUAACCCCCUCCUUACCAUAAACUGACACUGAGCUGGUAUUAACCCCCUCCUUACCAUAAACUGACACUGAGCUGGUAUGAGUUGGUAUUAACCCCCUCCUUGACAAAGAUGAACACUGUGCUGAUUUUUCUAACCCUCUCCUUGCUGAAUAUAUACAGAGUGUAAGUCUCCUGCAUUCUGAAUUUCUUUACUCCAUCUUGGAUCUCAGACUGUCUCCUUUCUGUCUCUUUUUACUACCGCUCUCUCAGGACCAGCCAGACCUACUGGCUCAUUGGACGGUGCUGCUCA